CCUACGGGCGGCUGCAGUGGGGAAUAUUGGACAAUGGGGGAAACCCUGAUCCAGCAAUGCCGCGUGUGUGAAGAAGGCCUGCGGGUUGUAAAGCACUUUCGGUUGGGAAGAAAAGUUUGGCGCCAAUACCGCCGAACCUUGACGUUACUGACAGAAGAAGCACCGGCUAACUCUGUGCCAGCAGCCGCGGUAAUACAGAGGGUGCAAGCGUUAAUCGGAAUCACUGGGCGUAAAGCGUGUGUAGGCAGCCGAAAGCCCUGGGCUCAACCCAGGAAGUGCACUCGAUACUGCAUGGCUUGAGUACCGGAGAGGUUGGUGGAAUUCUCGGUGUAGAGGUGAAAUUCGUAGAUAUCGAGAGGAACACCGGUGGCGAAGGCGGCCAACUGGACGGAUACUGACGCUGAGACACGAAAGCGUGGGGAGCAAACAGGAUUAGAUACCCCUGUAGUC
RNAcentral lists this ribosomal RNA (450 nucleotides) under uncultured bacterium. RNAcentral describes it as "partial 16S ribosomal RNA". It matches the Rfam family "Bacterial small subunit ribosomal RNA", at positions 338 to 795 of the family's 1533-position model. The record is from RNAcentral.